CGUAGGCGGUUUUUUAAGUUCAGAUGUGUAAUCCCCGAGCUCAACUUGGGAACUGCAUCUGAGACUGGAAGGCUAGAGUACUGGAGAGGGUGGUGGAAUUCCUCGUGUAGCGGUGAAAUGCGUAGAGAUGAGGAGGAACACCAGUGGCGAAGGCGGCCACCUGGACAGUAACUGACGCUGAGGCGCGAAAGUGUGGGUAGCAAACAGGAUUAGAUACCCUGGUAGUCCACGCUGUAAACGAUGAACACUUGGUGUGGAGGGAGUUGACCCCUUCCGUGCCGGAGCUAACGCGUUAAGUGUUCCGCCUGGGGAGUACGGUCGCAAGGCUGAA
RNAcentral lists this ribosomal RNA (331 nucleotides) under uncultured bacterium. Its description in RNAcentral is "bacterial SSU rRNA". It matches the Rfam family "Bacterial small subunit ribosomal RNA", at positions 570 to 898 of the family's 1533-position model. The record is from RNAcentral.